This 204-nucleotide non-coding RNA is filed under the name Sphingomonas taxi. Lineage: Bacteria; Pseudomonadati; Pseudomonadota; Alphaproteobacteria; Sphingomonadales; Sphingomonadaceae. The record is from RNAcentral.
AGGGGCGCCAAUGCGACAGGUUCCCAGAGAUGGGAUGAAAAGGGAACCCGGAAGCGAGCCUUGAGGCUCGCCGGCCGGGGCUGCCCCCGCAACUGUGACCGGCGAGCCCUGCUCCCCGCGCGCCACUGGAUCAUCCCGAUCCGGGAAGGCCGGGCAGGGCGACGACCCGCGAGCCAGGAGACCUGCCCGUCGCGGUUGUCCUUC